Oncorhynchus tshawytscha (Chinook salmon) is the source of this 1674-nucleotide long non-coding RNA. The record is from Ensembl. Lineage: Eukaryota; Metazoa; Chordata; Actinopteri; Salmoniformes; Salmonidae.
AAAAUACCAAAAUGUUUUUUGGGGGUGGAAAUGUUCCUAUAAUUAACCGUUGAUCAUUGCAUAAUGUUAUCUUCUAAACUUCAACAGGUAGAAAAAUACAUAUCUGAAAAAUAUACGUUGACAUCUUCAGGACAUUAAAUGAAUGGCAUGUUUCCUUUUUUUUGUAAAGAAAGUUUAUUUAUAAAGCAGGUCUCAGAACACUAGCAUCCCAGACCAGAGUGGACAGAAUCUGACGUCACAGCUACCAGGCCCACCAAUCAGAGGCACUGUGGCCACAAAAAGGCAACAUAAAAACAAAAAACAUGUUUCCUGGUUUUCCCCCUUUACCACUCCCUGCACCCCAAACCCAAAAUCAACCCUCAACCCAAACCCCUGAUCAUAAAAUACAAGUGGUUCGGUAUAUAAACAAUAUGGUGUCACCAGCUAUAGACAAGGUUGUCAUUUAAUGUUUUACCAUAUUGCUUAUAUAUAUAUAUAUAUCCAGGCCUCUCAGAUCGACACAUUGGGGUUGGCUACUAGUAACCCAAUACAGGACCAUAUAUUCUGCACCUAUGGUGUGUUUAGGAGGAGCAGGCAGAAGCAAUAUGGAAUUCAUCUUUAGCUACCAUGUUUGGAGACUCUGGCAUGAAGGAGACAAUUUAAUACAAACUGUCCAUUAUUAUCUAAAGAACCCAUCUGUUUCAGGGCCAUUCAUCCACCUCUGAAUACAGAUUCACCCCUUUUCACGCACGCACAGAGAUGAGCAGACAAACACACAGUCACACAGCCUGGCUCAAACUGGAUUUGACGAGACAAAAGCGGAAGAGAGGGGUGUUUUGGGGAGGACAUCAUUGCACGAGACAAAUCUAACAAAUAAUCACUUUUAAAAUAACAUUAAAAAAUCAAAAUCAAAGGAGGAGCAUGCAAAAUGGCUUUUCAGUUAAAACACAAUACAACACUUUAAAAAGUUCCUCUGAGGCAGGAGGGGUAGUUAAAACAUAAAAUACCCUCUCUAUGUCCCAAAUGGCACCCUAUUCCCUAUAUAGUGCACUACUUAUGACCAGGGCUCUGGUCAAAUGUAAAGCCCUGGUCAUAAGUAGUGCACUAUAUAGGGAUUAGGGUGCCAUUUGGGAGACAGGCACUCAGGCUCUGCCACCAUCCACUGGGGUUCCAUGUCAGGGUUCCAACGGGUAGGGUUCUGAGUUCCGGAUGUUCUAGGUUCAGGCUGGUGGACUGGAGGUCAGACCUCAGAGGGAGUAGAGUAGAACCCGGAGGUUUGGGGCUAGAGCUGCCUCUCUCUCCCCAUCUCCUCAGUCCACUGGGCUCCUUCUGGGACCAGACAGACCCAUGUGUCUGCUGGCUAGACUGCCUGGAACACAUGUGGAUUCAAUAUAGCAGGGAUGAGAUGCACUGAAGCUUAAGGAAGGUAAUGCAAUGCUGUAAUGUAAAGCUACUGAAACAUUGACAUUUAGUUUGAAAAGUUUGUGAAAUUACAGUAAAAUAAUUGGACAAUGACCUGCUUGUGAACUCAAUCAUAUUUUGGUGUCGCUUCUUUUUCUUUUUUUCCUCCUGUUGAGGUGAGUCCUGAACAAACAAACAAACACACUAGGAUUAGACCAGGUUGAGGUGAGUCCUGAACAAACAAACAAACACACUAGGAUUAGACCAGGUUGAGGUGAGUCCUGAACAAACAAA